AUACGGAGGAUGCGAGCGUUAUCCGGAUUUAUUGGGUUUAAAGGGAGCGUAGGCGGGAGCUUAAGUCAGCGGUUAAAUGGUGCGGCUCAACCGUGCCCUGCCGUUGAAACUGGGUUUCUUGAGAGUGCAAGAGGCGGAUGGAAUUCAUGGGGUAGCGGUGAAAUGCUUAGAUAUCAUGAAGAACUCCGAUUGCGAAGGCAGUCCGCUGGGGCACGUCUGACGCUGAUGCUCGAAGGUGCGGGAAUCAAACAGGAUUAGAUACCCUGGUAGUCCGCACGGUAAACGAUGAUUACCCGCUGUCGGCGGUAGACAGUCGGCGGCCAAGCGAAAGCGAUAAGUAAUCCACCUGGGGAGUACGCCGGCAACGGUGAAACUCAAAUGAAUUGGCGGGG
This 392-nucleotide ribosomal RNA is filed under the name uncultured bacterium. Its description in RNAcentral is "partial 16S ribosomal RNA". It matches the Rfam family "Bacterial small subunit ribosomal RNA", at positions 523 to 918 of the family's 1533-position model. The record is from RNAcentral.